Elaeis guineensis (African oil palm) is the source of this 792-nucleotide non-coding RNA. Lineage: Eukaryota; Viridiplantae; Streptophyta; Magnoliopsida; Arecales; Arecaceae. The record is from RefSeq and is a predicted model, not a curated record.
GAUGAAGCUUGACCCACUGCAGUCCCUAGUAGAACAGUAUCUGAAACGACCUUCACACAGCUGAAAGUCCAUAUUGUAUCUACUCCUGCCAGGUCAACAGCUCCUGCUGGGUUGCCCCAAUACCAGGAUGACCCAACAAGCAGGAGUAUGUUCACCUGGAAGGAAAUCAGCCACCUGCUCGUUAAUGACCCAAUCUACAACAGUAAGUUUUUCUUGAGGACCAUCAAGGUGCAGAGACAUGGGAAGAUCCAUUAAUGCACUAGGGAUUGGUUCAUCAGCAGAAGGUAACUGGAUGAGGUCCUCAUGCCCCACAACCUGUGAAGCAGGAGCAGCAAGUUGGGUGUUUGAAUUGGAAUUUGAAUAUGGGGUUUCAGGUUCCCUAUACUGGAUUAGGAAUUGCAUCUCUCUGCUUAUUAGACUUAUCAAAGGAAUUCGAUUCUUGCUGUACUUGGUUCCUAUCCUUCUGGUCCCCCAAAACUCAUGCUGGAUUUGCUGAGUUUCCGCCAGGCUACACAUCCCAGAGUGCAGAUUCCGUUGCUGGGAAGCAAAUAGAGGUGGAGGGGGCGAUCAUGUUCCACAUGCCUGAUCUUUAUUCUAACUUCAUAUUUAAAGUCAUCCAUUGAAACAUCCACGAACGGAGGGAUGGAGACUUGGUUCUUACAGAAAACAAUAAGAUUGAGAGAGAAAAGGUCUAAGCAACCAGCACUUCUAGAGUCAACAGCAUGUAAGAUGCCAGACCUUGGUGAUUGAUCAUGAUUGGCUGUGAGAUGAAAAAGGAGCUAAUCAAAACCC